AACGAACGCUGGCGGCAGGCCUAACACAUGCAAGUCGAACGCCCUAGCAAUAGGGAGUGGCAGACGGGUGAGUAACACGUGGGAACGUGCCCUUCGGUUCGGACUAACUCAGGGAAACUUGAGCUAAUACCGGAUACGUGCGAGAGCAGAAAGAUUUAUCGCCGGAGGAUCGGCCCGCGUCCGAUUAGCUAGUUGGUGAGGUACUUGCUCACCAAGGCGACGAUCGGUAGCUGGUCUGAAAGGGUGACCAGCCACACCGGGACUGAGACACGGCCCAGACUCCUACGGGAGGCAGCAGUGGGGAAUAUUGGACAAUGGGCGCAAGCCUGAUCCAGCCAUGCCGCGUGAGUGAUGAAGGCCCUAGGGUUGUAAAGCUCUUUCGCCAGGGACGAUAAUGACGGUACCUGGAUAAGAAGCCCCGGCUAACUUCGUGCCAGCCGCCGCGGUAA
This 449-nucleotide ribosomal RNA is filed under the name uncultured bacterium. RNAcentral describes it as "partial 16S ribosomal RNA". It matches the Rfam family "Bacterial small subunit ribosomal RNA", at positions 29 to 523 of the family's 1533-position model. The record is from RNAcentral.